RNAcentral lists this ribosomal RNA (1180 nucleotides) under Pluralibacter gergoviae. RNAcentral describes it as "partial 23S ribosomal RNA". It matches the Rfam family "Bacterial large subunit ribosomal RNA", at positions 614 to 1788 of the family's 2925-position model. The record is from RNAcentral. Lineage: Bacteria; Pseudomonadati; Pseudomonadota; Gammaproteobacteria; Enterobacterales; Enterobacteriaceae.
AAUGGGUCAGCGACUUAUAUUCUGUAGCAAGGUUAACCGAAUAGGGGAGCCGAAGGGAAACCGAGUCUUAACUGGGCGUUAAGUUGCAGGGUAUAGACCCGAAACCCGGUGAUCUAGCCAUGGGCAGGUUGAAGGUUGGGUAACACUAACUGGAGGACCGAACCGACUAAUGUUGAAAAAUUAGCGGAUGACCUGUGGCUGGGGGUGAAAGGCCAAUCAAACCGGGAGAUAGCUGGUUCUCCCCGAAAGCUAUUUAGGUAGCGCCUCGUGAACUCAUCUUCGGGGGUAGAGCACUGUUUCGGCUAGGGGGUCAUCCCGACUUACCAACCCGAUGCAAACUGCGAAUACCGAAGAAUGUUAUCACGGGAGACACACGGCGGGUGCUAACGUCCGUCGUGAAGAGGGAAACAACCCAGACCGCCAGCUAAGGUCCCAAAGUCAUGGUUAAGUGGGAAACGAUGUGGGAAGGCCCAGACAGCCAGGAUGUUGGCUUAGAAGCAGCCAUCAUUUAAAGAAAGCGUAAUAGCUCACUGGUCGAGUCGGCCUGCGCGGAAGAUGUAACGGGGCUAAACCAUGCACCGAAGCUGCGGCAGCGACGCUUAGGCGUUGUUGGGUAGGGGAGCGUUCUGUAAGCCGUUGAAGGUGUGCUGUGAGGGAUGCUGGAGGUAUCAGAAGUGCGAAUGCUGACAUAAGUAACGAUAAAGCGGGUGAAAAGCCCGCUCGCCGGAAGACCAAGGGUUCCUGUCCAACGUUAAUCGGGGCAGGGUGAGUCGACCCCUAAGGCGAGGCCGAAAGGCGUAGUCGAUGGGAAACAGGUUAAUAUUCCUGUACUUGGUGUUACUGCGAAGGGGGGACGGAGAAGGCUAUGUUAGCCGGGCGACGGUUGUCCCGGUUUAAGCAUGUAGGCGGAGGUUCAAGGUAAAUCCGGUACCUUUUAACGCUGAGGUGUGAUGACGAGGCACUACGGUGCUGAAGUAACAAAUGCCCUGCUUCCAGGAAAAGCCUCUAAGCUCCAGGUAACACGAAAUCGUACCCCAAACCGACACAGGUGGUCAGGUAGAGAAUACCAAGGCGCUUGAGAGAACUCGGGUGAAGGAACUAGGCAAAAUGGUGCCGUAACUUCGGGAGAAGGCACGCUGACAUGUAGGUGAAGCCCCUGCGGGUGGAGCUGAAGUCAGUC